AACGAACGCUGGCGGCGUGGAUAAGACAUGCAAGUCGAACGGGACUUUUUUCUGGUAGCAAUACCGGAAAAAGUCUAGUGGCGAACGGGUGCGUAACACGUGGACAAUCUGCCUUAAAGUGGGGGAUAGCUCGGCGAAAGCCGAAUUAAUACCGCAUGUGAUGAGGGAAGACAUCUUUCUGAAAUCAAAGCCGCCCAGCACUUUCAGUUGAUUU
Molecule: ribosomal RNA, 214 nt
Filed under: uncultured bacterium
Lineage: Bacteria
Description: partial 16S ribosomal RNA
Rfam family: Bacterial small subunit ribosomal RNA
Source: RNAcentral